This 310-nucleotide long non-coding RNA is filed under the name Equus caballus (horse). Its description in RNAcentral is "lncRNA (ENSECAG00000047935.1)". The record is from RNAcentral. Lineage: Eukaryota; Metazoa; Chordata; Mammalia; Perissodactyla; Equidae.
GAUGUUUUGUUUUGUUUUCUCAGAUUUAAGGAAAUCUUUUCUCUUACGCUGACUAUGACUUACAGCAAUUUAGUGAUAGUAUACCUUUAUGAGCAAAACUGAAACAUUUAUCUUUUUCUCCCUACCUGAUCCCUCCAGAAUUUGGAAACCUAGUAAGUGACUUUGACUGGAAUGUCAUAUUUGAGAGAAACAUACAGACUCAGAUAUGACAAUACUGCCUUUGAGGAAGAAGGUUGACUUUCUGGAAAUAAAGCCACUUGGAAAUAUGGGCCUGGUACCUUGUUUACAGAGAUUCUGGCAAUCUUACCUG